Molecule: long non-coding RNA, 1026 nt
Organism: Dermacentor andersoni
Lineage: Eukaryota; Metazoa; Arthropoda; Arachnida; Ixodida; Ixodidae
Source: RefSeq, a predicted model, not a curated record
CGCGCUCACAGAGUGCGGCACCAGGGGGCAGCGCGCGCUGCGCGUCCGUUAGGAGUGGCAGACGGAGCUGCACAUGUGUAGUCAGCCGGAAUUUUUCGUGUCGUGUUGUAAAAGUUGUUAAUUUGCCGUAAAUAUCUCUUGAUUUGUACUCAAGAGUGAAGCAAGACUCCAAGGAAGAGAGAUUGACGCAUCGGGAGCGAAGGACAGAAACGAUGGAUGGUUACGCUGCUUGGGUCUCGGCACGUUCGAAUUGGCAAAGUUCCGAAUUUGUCGCUGUGUUUUGUACGCUUGUGCGCUCGUCAUUUGCCGUCAUCGCGCGGAGAUAUUUGCGCUGGAUGUCUUUCACUUCGUGUACAAAACUCUGCACGCUGCGGCAUCGAAGAAGUUGUCCUGUGUUUGGGUGCACGUAUGCGCUUGGACACGGAUAUAUCCUGCUUGCUCUCAACGGGUGUUCAACAGUCUACGCGCACUCGUAACUUGCUCAUGAGGCAAGUUGUUGUUGUGCUGGAGCUGAGAAGAGGUCUGCUGCCUGCAAUGGGUCCUCAAGUUAUCGCAGUAUUGUAGCUCUCAAAGUUCAAAAAAGUAUGGUGGAAGCUGUUGCCAAGGUUCCGACCAGAAAAGACAGCCAGUAUAAAAGGGUCCACACCACUGAUCUCUACUACAGGGGAUGGACAGCACAUCGAGCACCCUCGACGGAAGCCAACCUUGUCCCGGAAAUUGGUGCUUCACAACUUUGCGGCAGCACUUCGUUUACACGGCCUGUGGAGACAAGGUUUCUUAGACAUGGCCAUGGCCCUCAAGGAAGAUGCCGAGGCCACAGGCAGUUCCUCCAGUGACCGUGAAAAGGUCCCCUGGGGCACAAGUCUAAUUUGGCACCCCUACCUUUCUCCUGCAGCUUUUCUGUCUACUUAGCUAACCAGCAGCAAGUUUAUCCUUGCAAGCAUUUUGGGUCAAGAACAACUUUCACCAGGAAGAAGUGCAAGACGAGUGAUUGAAGAAAAUAAAGUUGCUUCUGUGAUCUAAGAA